This 276-nucleotide unclassified non-coding RNA is filed under the name Ascomycota sp. RNAcentral's name for it is "partial contains 5.8S ribosomal RNA, internal transcribed spacer 2, and large subunit ribosomal RNA". Lineage: Eukaryota; Fungi; Ascomycota. The record is from RNAcentral.
CGCACAUUGCGCCCUUUGGUAUUCCGAAGGGCAUGCCUGUUCGAGCGUCAUUAUCACCCCUCAAGCCCCGUGCUUGGUGUUGGACGGCCGGUCGAAGGGUCCCCCCCUCGACCCCUCCUAAAGACAACGACGGCGGCCUGUGGUUCCCCCGGUACACUGAGCUUUUCACCGAGCACGUACCGGACGAGGGCGCCCAGGACCCGGUCUUCUCCUCUCGCGAGGAACUAUUUUUUCAAGGUUGACCUCGGAUCAGGUAGGAAUACGCGCUGAACUUAA